AGGAGGACGUGCUCGCUCGCUCGCUCGUUCGUUCAGAAGGUUUGAGUAAAAUCCAUGGCAACCGGUGCUUUCAGAAUGGAGGAUUCCCCCCUAGAUAGAAAUAUUCAAGCUGAGGGGGAAACAACAGUUCACACUGCAUUAUUAAAAGGGGCAACUCAUCCCUGCAUUUUCUGAGACACACAUGCCAAUGCGAGGUAAAUGCUCUGUGUAUAUCAAUAGACUCAAUCAGGUUGUUUGGUUCUCAAAACAUAUAAAACUUAAACCCAUCGUAUACCGGAGGUGUGGUAUCCUGGAUGAGCUACAUUUCAUCCAGCAGAUCUUUGGCUCCAGCUUCCUACAAACGCAUUCAAAGUGAAAUAGUGACCUUCAUGUUGUCCUGAUUAAAGGAUUCUGUGCAUGCCAGGAGAAAAAAGGGCAGUGUAAACAUGUGAUUUUCUGAAGAUUACUGACUGCGGUUUGUCAUUGACUACAUGCCUACCACAAUGAAGAUACUGCAUACAAACCCUGAGAUGUUCCACAACUGAAUGAAAUUCCACUCUUUCUGUGAUCAACUGGAUAAUAACUUUGGAUUGAGUACAGAAGAGCAAUGAUUUGAGAAUCCUGUUACGAGGCUUUGUCGGAGGCUCACUGGUGAUGUUACCUUGUAUGGUGACGAAACGUCUGAAAACGAACCUUCCAGCUCAGCGAGCAAACUCACAUCCAGAAUUCUGUUACUGUUGCAAAAAGAUCAUUAAGACUGAAAAGAAAUCUCAUUUUCACUUUCUGGAAAUGUAAUAUUUAGCCACAGUUACACCUAUUGCCUGUACUGGGAUGAGGUCAUUGAGGACCUGUACUUGAGUGUGCCUGAAUUAAACUAGACAGAAAAGAGUUAACCUACAGAUUUGCUUUCACAUUAUGCCUUUUAUGACCCAGAAUUUCAUCGAUCACUUUGCAAACAGUAGAGCAUUUUUGAAGUAUAAUCAAUGUAGCUAUGCAGAAACACACAGCUCUUAAUUUGCAUAUAGUAAAGUCUUGCAAAGAAUAAAUUGAAAUGAAUUUAGUUGAUCUAAUCUACUUAUGCUGGCCAAAGAAUCAACAUUGCAGGAGUUCGCAUUUCUUUGACUUGAAAAGUACCACAGGACUUUCUAAUAUAUCUGAACAAACCAAUGGAUAUUUGCUUAAAGUCUUUUCUGAAACUGUUAUUUUCAAUCAGAUGAAUAGGGCAGAAUAGGAAGUGUUUAUUAUUCCAAACUGUUUACACUACCUGCUCUGGACUUUAAUUUGACCAGAGUAUACAUUUAGGAUUGUCAUAUACUUGGAAUACAUAAAUAGACUCAAUGGCCAGAAAUUAUACCCAUAAACAGCAUCAGCACAUAACUUGACUGAAAGCAUAAAACCAAGAAAUCAACAAUGAUUAGUGAUCAAAAAAAUUACUGAUUAAAAUAAGCUGAAUCAAUUAUUAAAUAUCAAAAAUCAAAAAAAGUGAUUUGGACAUCAUCAUGAGUGUCACUGAAAUGAGAAGCAAAAAUACAAUUAACAUUACCAACAAAUUGUGCAUUUGAGUCACGUGUGUCUGAUUAUUCUUUCUUCAGAGCUUUUAGUGUUUCAGUUCAUACUUUUGACUACAAGAAAUUAAAGUAUCAUGCCUGUGAGCUCUGCCCCUUCAUCACUUGUGAUUUGAUUUUUAGUUAAAGUUAAAAUAACUGGAAUUAUACUUCUGGAUAAAAUAUUUGAUUACAUUGAAAUCUUCAAUGGCUAAUUUCCUCAAAAAAUGCUGCUUAGAUAUUACAGGGCAAACUAAGUAGUCCUGUUCUCCUAGUGGGGACAAUGCACUGACUUUAUCUUUGUGUUCAAUAGAUUAUUUAUUCAAAAAAUGCAACAUGUUAGCAUUGUGAAAAAUUUACUUGAUAUUCAUAUUGGGUGGCAACUGCACACAGAGGUCUCCUUAUUAAGUACAAACAUUUUUCCACAACGUUACAAAUAUUGCAUAUCUCAUGUGAGUACUGAAAUAACAUUUUAAUAUCCUAUGUUUCUUUAUCUGUAAUUGUAACAAUUUCAUUGAGUUAUAAAGACAUUGGUUAUUGUCCAGAACAAGGAUUUAAUAUCAGAAUUUCUGACUAGUGACAUUGGUGCUGCUAUUAUGGAGAGCCGGUUAAUGAAAUGAAGCUAUCCAGAAAUUUUAUGACUGGUUACCUGAUUAGUUCUCACCACGUAUAAUCUAUUGUGACCGCGUUGUUCAAUAUGCUGGAAUCUGAUUGGCAGACAAUAGUGAUAACAAGGGCCCCACUUUCAGUAACUGUGGAGCUGAAGACGGACCUGAAGGUUUUGCUUCAGGCACUUAACAGGCCACCUCAGGGAAUGUAUGCAAUGUCAAUCUGCAGCGCGCAGAUGCUUUAAGAAGGUCACUGAUUUCAUUGUUUACUGGGGUGAACACAUUGGUCAACUUGCUCUGGUAGAAACCUGUAAGUAAAUGAAAAUACCCUGAAAUUCAGCCAGAUUCAACUUACUGCCAGUGUUCAAAGCAUUAUUGAUGGCAGUCAUCUAAACUCAUACUCAGAGACCCAUGAUAGUUUUGCAAUUCAAAGAAAUCCACUCUAUCAACCUCCGACAAGCUAGUGAUCAACAAUACUAUACCACACACCUGCAGUUUUAUAUUCUUGCAAUCUUCUGCACCUUGUUACUUGAAGACUACUUGGAAAGAUGGAUUAUUGGAGGUAAACAUUAUACAAGCCAUCAAAACAGGAAGGUGAGCCAAGGUUUGAGUCAAUGUAACCAUAAGGGCAUCAUAAAACAUACCAUGGCAUCUUGAAACAGCAAUCCUUCUGCCUGGGAAGAUCAAUAAACAACAAUACUCGUUUCCAAACUCGUCAACAGAACGAGUUGCACACCAGGCUUGCAUGUAUGGAUUGAAAUAACUGCACAGAGGCCUGUGUUCCAUUACUAAGUCACACUUUACUUGUGCACAAUACAUGGGCUCUGUCCAGCCUGGAGCAGAUGGACUCCAACAAGCCCAAACGCUACCUACCAUGCCAGUGCCACCAUCUUGUAAAAACAUCUUGAAUUGAACCCACUCUGCUGGCAUUACUCUGCAUUGCAAACCAUCCAUCUAGCCAACUGAGCUAACCAACCCCUGACUUUAAUGCAUACUCCAGCUGAUUAAACAGUCUCUGAAGGGUCUAGGCCCGAAACGUCAGCUUUUGUGCUCCUAAGAUGCUGCUUGGCCCUCUGUGUUCAUCCAGCUCCACACUUUGUUAUCUCAGAUUCUCCAGCAUCUGCAGUUCCCAUUAUCUCUGAACUUAUAAUUUCACUGUCUCAACUAUCAUGGUGUCAUCCUUUUGGUCUAUUUUUUACCUUAAUCUGUAAAACAAAGAAGACAAGUUUUAUAAGAUUAUUGAAUCCACUUCUAAGUAUAUUACAUGUAACCUAUAGAAUCUACCCUUGUACUCCAUUUAGGUAUUGCCCUACUGGAGGAGAAUGUGACAAGUUGACUGCUGGACAUGAGUAGCAGCUUCUCUCACAUUUAAGCAUGGGUUACGGGAUAGCCUUUUUGCUGGCGUGGUCAUGUCCAAUGAUCUGGUGACUGACCAGAUCUCCUUUUGUCUUAUCCUCUCAUUUGUGUGACUGGUGUCUUUAAAAGGGUUUACAGUGCACUAAGCAACAAUUUCUUUCAUGCCCCUGCAGCUAAGCAAUUCCAUAUCAUGCCCGCUGAAUAUCAUGAGAAAAUACUUCAGACGUGAACGAUCGUGAGAGUCUGAACACUACAGCUAUGAAAAAGGUCAAGUAGGCUCCACCUCUUGGCAGCAGACUAAGGUACUUACACCAAAGAAUCUCUUGCACUCAGAAGCCCAUUACAGCAAAAAAGAUGUAGUUAUCCCACUCUUCAAGAUCGGGAUUGCAGAGACGUUGAUAAUGGAUUAAAGGAACACUUGGUAAACACCUUGAAGAGUGGAGCUUAAGCAGAGGCAGAAAUCAGUUGGACCAAACACUGCACAUUCUGUGUAAGUCCAUUUUUUUAAACCUCCAUAACUGGAUAUUUCAGACAAAUUAAAAUGAUGGCAGAGAUUAAUCAUGCUCAGAAAACAAUUCCCAUGUAGUUUGAACCAAUGGCCUCUGCACUUGAGUUGGCAUGUUACCUUCUUUAUGCUCUGCAAUAAUAUUUGAAUGAAUUAAUUGUUAAGGAAAGAUCCUAAACAGUCUACUCAUCUCUCAGUAUGGCUAAAUUUUAGGCAAGCUUACCAUAAAAAAUGUUAUGUGCCAUCAAAACUUCUCUUGCAUUUGCUCCAAUUUCUUAGAAUGCUUAGCAAAAGCCCAUAUAUACUGUUUCUGCACAGCUUAAACCAAUCUCCUUUGUUGUUGGUGUUGAUGUUAUGCAUUGGUUGUCAGGGAAGCCCUCCUUUCCUUCAGUUUAUGAAGUUGCAAUUUCACAGCUAUAUCAUUAACUGCUGGUGUUCUUAUUUACCUCUGCCUCUUUGAGCUUCUCCUUCUCUCCCCACUGAAUAACCCACCUCCAAAUGGAACUGUUUAUGUUAAAUUAGGACUGGGUACCGAACAGUUGGCUGUGAAUUAAAAAAUAUAGAUCCAUCAAAAAUCUGCCUCAAGAGUCUGAAUGUCAAUGUGUUUAAAAUAUUGAUUCUAACCAUAUUAUU
This is a long non-coding RNA of Stegostoma tigrinum, 4625 nucleotides long. RefSeq lists it as uncharacterized. The transcript is spliced from 5 exons. The record is from RefSeq and is a predicted model, not a curated record. Lineage: Eukaryota; Metazoa; Chordata; Chondrichthyes; Orectolobiformes; Stegostomatidae.